Molecule: ribosomal RNA, 463 nt
Filed under: uncultured Desulfobulbus sp.
Lineage: Bacteria; Pseudomonadati; Thermodesulfobacteriota; Desulfobulbia; Desulfobulbales; Desulfobulbaceae
Description: bacterial SSU rRNA
Rfam family: Bacterial small subunit ribosomal RNA
Source: RNAcentral
CACAAGCGGUGGAGUAUGUGGUUUAAUUCGAUGCAACGCGAAGAACCUUGCCUGGUCUUGACAUCCCGGAGACCCUUAGGAAACUAGGGGUGCUUCCAUCUGGAAGAAUCUGGAGACAGGUGCUGCAUGGCUGUCGUCAGCUCGUGUCGUGAGAUGUUGGGUUAAGUCCCGCAACGAGCGCAACCCUUGCCUUUAGUUGCCAGCAGUUCGGCUGGGCACUCUAAAGGGACUGCCGGUGUUAAACCGGAGGAAGGUGGGGAUGACGUCAAGUCCUCAUGGCCUUUAUGACCAGGGCUACACACGUACUACAAUGGCCGAUACAAAGGGCAGCGACACUGCGAGGUGAAGCCAAUCCCGUAAAAUCGGUCUCAGUCCGGAUUGGAGUCUGCAACUCGACUCCAUGAAGUUGGAAUCGCUAGUAAUCGUGGAUCAGCAUGCCACGGUGAAUACGUUCCCGGGCCUU